AUAGAGACUUGGACUUGGCAGUUUCCUUGUUGUCAUCAAAGACAUCAAGGAAUCUGCUGAAACAAUAUGUUGCUUCGUCUCUCUUCCAUGAGUCGCAGCCGAGUAGUCAACUCGUUUGAUUGCUUAUCAGUCUGUGAUGACUUGGUCGUGAGGGCGAGUCGUCUAGGCGAUUCGUUUAGUAGCAAUGUCAAAAAGGAAACCCCACACAUUCUCGACCUGAGCUCAG
RNAcentral lists this ribosomal RNA (226 nucleotides) under Chloromonas arctica. RNAcentral describes it as "partial 28S ribosomal RNA". Lineage: Eukaryota; Viridiplantae; Chlorophyta; Chlorophyceae; Chlamydomonadales; Chlamydomonadaceae. The record is from RNAcentral.